This is a non-coding RNA of Phoenix dactylifera (date palm), 694 nucleotides long. NCBI's taxonomy places the organism in Eukaryota, Viridiplantae, Streptophyta, Magnoliopsida, Arecales, Arecaceae. The record is from RefSeq and is a predicted model, not a curated record.
UGGAAACUAAACUGCCACGGAAUAGCACCGUUGACCAACGGUCCGUACUCCCUCCCUAUCUUUUUCACUCUCCCCCUCUAUCUUCCCUUCUCUCCUCUUCUCUUCUUUUCUCUCUCUAUUCACCCUCCGCCUCCUCUUCUCUUCUCUUCUCUUCUCUUCUCUUCUCUCUCCCCUGAAACAAAGAAGGGAGAGAUCUCCAGUGUUCCUCUUCCUCGGAUUGCAGUGGCUUCCGAUAUUCCGGUCAUCCGCCAUAGCAUCAGAGCGUGCAAAGGGUUGCAGGCUGAAGCUGGGAUAGUCUGCAGGAAAGGAAAGGAUUGUAGCGAAGCGAUUGGAAGGCGAUGGGAGGCGUGCUGGUGAUCUCGGUGCCGUUACUUCUCCUGAUCGCGAUCCUGGCCCUUGCUUGCUACCUUUUCGGUAGGUCCCGGGGCCGGUCCUAGUGGAGGGCCCCGCAGUAUUUGGGCUGCCGGCCCAAAUACAGCCCAUCCUCCACCUGCUCCGGCCCAAGAGAAGGGCCCAACUACCCACAACAUGCGUUGCCGAGAAUGCUACAUUGUGUAUUUGCUCGGACCUUCUGUGGUGUGCUUUUAUUUAUAGGGAGUGACGUUUGUGGGUUUGGUAGCUUUUUGGCUUCUUUGUCGAGCAUGGAUUAUAAGUAAUAAUAUUAUAUUUGUUUUAUUGCUAUUCAGUUGAUUAA